Molecule: ribosomal RNA, 468 nt
Filed under: uncultured bacterium
Lineage: Bacteria
Description: partial 16S ribosomal RNA
Rfam family: Bacterial small subunit ribosomal RNA
Source: RNAcentral
GACGAACGCUGGCGGCGUGCUUAACACAUGCAAGUCGAACGGAAAGGCCCUGCUUUUGUGGGGUGCUCGAGUGGCGAACGGGUGAGUAACACGUGAGUAACCUGCCCUUGACUUUGGGAUAACUUCAGGAAACUGGGGCUAAUACCGGAUAGGAGCUCCUGCUGCAUGGUGGGGGUUGGAAAGUUUCGGCGGUUGGGGAUGGACUCGCGGCUUAUCAGCUUGUUGGUGGGGUAGUGGCUUACCAAGGCUUUGACGGGUAGCCGGCCUGAGAGGGUGACCGGCCACAUUGGGACUGAGAUACGGCCCAGACUCCUACGGGAGGCAGCAGUGGGGAAUAUUGCACAAUGGGCGGAAGCCUGAUGCAGCAACGCCGCGUGCGGGAUGACGGCCUUCGGGUUGUAAACCGCUUUCGCCUGUGACGAAGCGUGUGUGACGGUAAUGGAUAAAGAAGCACCGGCUAACUACGUG